CGUGAAAUUCAUGCCUGAAAAAUUGGAGGCGUGGCUUACAGUCAGCUGUGUUUAGGUCUGCAUGAAAAUCUUGUCAUAUCCGCAGGGUAACUGGUAUGGAAAAAAUCCACUUACCUUUUCAUGCGACAUUGUGGUGAAAUGUUUUGUGUGUCUGCAACAAUGUUUGAAGAGGUUGCAUGAAAUUCCUGUCUGCAAAUUUCAAACCGGGCGAGCAGUCUGAGGACGAUCAGUUGGCUGCUGAUUCUCUUGAAGUGAACAUCGUUUAAUUUUUUGUCGGUUCAGCUGGUUAUUUUCUGACAUUCCUCGUCGCGCUGUUUCAGUCAGAUUUACAGUUCGAUGACCCUCAGGCCAAUUGAAAUAUAAAUCCGGAGGUGCGCAAGGACCAGCAAAACCAGGCCAUCAAACGUCGCAAAAUGAAGACAAGUAAAGCUGAGAAAGGCGCUGGCAGGAACCAACAGAAAAUUAAGGCUGCUAAAGUGCUCCAGCAUACCGGCCCGCACACCGUUAGCGAAAAUCCGGAUACGUGAAUCAAAUUCAACAAAAAUAGGAGAAAUCCACCCAACUUAAACCCUUCACCCGGAAAGCAGCUAAAUUGGUAGUGAAUUGUGAUUAAUAGUGUUUUAUGAACUGUGAUUAAUAUUGUGGUUUAAAGAUCGAAAAAUCAAAUCUUUUGACAAUAAAAAGUUUCAAGAACUAUUAA
Molecule: long non-coding RNA, 700 nt
Organism: Culex quinquefasciatus (southern house mosquito)
Lineage: Eukaryota; Metazoa; Arthropoda; Insecta; Diptera; Culicidae
Exons: 2
Source: RefSeq, a predicted model, not a curated record